GAGCACGUAGGUGGGUUUGUAAGUCAGAUGUGAAAGCCUUCUGUUCAACGGAAGAAUUGCAUCUGAAACUGCGAGUCUUGAGAGUAGGAGGGGAGAAUGGAACUUCUGGUGGAGCGGUGAAAUGCGUAGAUAUCAGAAGGAACUCCGGCGGCGAAAGCGAUUCUCUGGCCUAUUACUGACACUCAGUGUGCGAAAGCUAGGGGAGCAAACGGGAUUAGAUACCCCGGUAGUCCUAGCCGUAAACGAUGGGCACUAAGUAGAGGGGUUUU
This 269-nucleotide ribosomal RNA is filed under the name uncultured Planctomycetales bacterium. RNAcentral describes it as "partial 16S ribosomal RNA". It matches the Rfam family "Bacterial small subunit ribosomal RNA", at positions 565 to 832 of the family's 1533-position model. The record is from RNAcentral. Lineage: Bacteria; Pseudomonadati; Planctomycetota; Planctomycetia; Planctomycetales.